Molecule: unclassified non-coding RNA, 315 nt
Filed under: uncultured fungus
Lineage: Eukaryota; Fungi
Description: partial contains small subunit ribosomal RNA, internal transcribed spacer 1, and 5.8S ribosomal RNA
Rfam family: Eukaryotic small subunit ribosomal RNA (bases 1-73)
Source: RNAcentral
GCAAACUUGGUCAUUUAGAGGAAGUAAAAGUCGUAACAAGGUUUCCGUAGGUGAACCUGCGGAAGGAUCAUUAUCGAAUUAAAUCCAGCCAUCUGGCUGUGCAUUCACUUGCACGCCGGGCGGUCUGGCUCUUUGAUUUUCACACCUCUGUGCACUUCGGGCCGACGUCUCUUCGGAGGCGAAGGCUGGCUUUUUUACACCUUUUUUGUAUGUCUUUGAAUGUAAUGGGCCUCCCUGUGAUGGGGUUGGUCUUUAAUCGUAAAUACAACUUUCAGCAACGGAUCUCUUGGCUCUCCCAUCGAUGAAGAACGCAGC